RNAcentral lists this unclassified non-coding RNA (219 nucleotides) under Ascomycota sp. Its description in RNAcentral is "partial contains small subunit ribosomal RNA, internal transcribed spacer 1, and 5.8S ribosomal RNA". The stretch from base 1 to 47 matches the Rfam family "Eukaryotic small subunit ribosomal RNA", at positions 1785 to 1831 of the family's 1831-position model. Lineage: Eukaryota; Fungi; Ascomycota. The record is from RNAcentral.
AAAGUCGUAACAAGGUUUCCGUAGGUGAACCUGCGGAAGGAUCAUUACCGUGGGGCUUCGGCCCUGUCGUGAUAGAACCCUUGCCUUUUGAGUACCGUCCGUUUCCUCGGCAGGUCCGCCUGCCAAUGGGGACCCCCAAUAAACCCUUUUUGCAAUGCCUGUACAACCUUCUGAAAAACCCAAUCGUUAAAACUUUCAACAAUGGAUCUCUUGGUUCUG